The sequence is a ribosomal RNA, 847 nucleotides long. It matches the Rfam family "Eukaryotic large subunit ribosomal RNA", at positions 67 to 940 of the family's 3401-position model.
AACAGGGAUUGCCCUAGUAACGGCGAGUGAAGCGGCAACAGCUCAAAUUUGAAAUCUGGCCUCGCGGCCCGAGUUGUAAUUUGCAGAGGAUGUUUCUGGCGCGGUGCCUUCCGAGUUCCCUGGAACGGGACGCCACAGAGGGUGAGAGCCCCGUAUGGUAGGACACCAAGCCUGUGUGAAACUCCUUCGACGAGUCGAGUAGUUUGGGAAUGCUGCUCAAAAUGGGAGGUAAAUCUCUUCUAAAGCUAAAUACCGGCCAGAGACCGAUAGCGCACAAGUAGAGUGAUCGAAAGAUGAAAAGCACCUUGAAAAGGGGGUUAAACAGUACGUGAAAUUGUUGAAAGGGAAGCGCUUGUGACCAGACUUGCGCCGGGCGGUUCAUCCGGGGUUCUCCCCGGUGCACUCCGCCCGGUUCAGGCCAGCAUCGGUUCUCGUUGGGGGAUAAGAACGGCAGGAACGUGGCCCUCCCUCGGGGGGGUGUUAUAGCCUGUCGUACGAUACCCUGACGGGGACCGAGGUUCGCGCUCCGCGCAAGGAUGCUGGCGUAAUGGUCAUCAGCGACCCGUCUUGAAACACGGACCAAGGAGUCGUCCAUUAGAGCGAGCGUUUGGGUGUAAAACCCGCACGCGUAAUGAAAGUGAAAUUAGGUGAGAGCUUCGGCGCAUCAUCGACCGAUCCUGAUGUUCUCGGAUGGAUUUGAGUAAGAGUUUUAACGGACGGACCCGAAAGACAGUGAACUAUGCUUGUAUAGGGUGAAGCCAGAGGAAACUCUGGUGGAGGCUCGCAGCGGUUCUGACGUGCAAAUCGAUCGUCAAAUAUGAGCAUGGGGGCGAAAGACUAAUCGAAC